Long non-coding RNA from Ostrea edulis (European flat oyster), 142 nucleotides. RefSeq lists it as uncharacterized. The transcript has 2 exons. The record is from RefSeq and is a predicted model, not a curated record. Lineage: Eukaryota; Metazoa; Mollusca; Bivalvia; Ostreida; Ostreidae.
GUUUACACACAUGUGAAAAACACGUGGAUUUGAGGGUAGUUUUGUUUUCGGGUUGAGUGGAAUAAUGAACCUCCAGAUAUCUAUGUACAUGCACACGUGUAUGAUUAAACUUUUGUUGCACUCGCGCAAGCGAGAUAUCCUA